UGGUAUUCCGGGAGGCAUGCCUGUUCGAGCGUCAUCAAACACAUCCUCAAGCAUUUUUGCUUGGUCCUGGAGGAAGAUGGUCUCUCGACUAUCCCCUCUGGAAUUCCUCAGCAGAGACCACAGCAGCCUCAGGUGUGAUAAUUCUACCUCGCUUGAGUGUUACCGUGGGCUCCCGCUGGAGAACAGCCCCCCAGCUUUUACCAUGUUUGACCUCGGAUCAGGUAGGGAUACCCGCUGAACUUAAGCAUAUCAAUAAGCGGAGGAAAAGAAACCAACAGGGAUUGCCUUAGUAACUGCGAGUGAAGCGGCAAAAGCUCAAAUUUGAAAUCUGGUACCAUUCGGUGCUCGAGUUGUAAUUUGGAGAGGCAACUUCGGAGAGGGCGUUGGCCUAAGUUCCUUGGAACAGGACGUCAUAGAGGGUGAGAAUCCCGUGCUUGGCUGACUGUCCCUCUUCAUGUGAAGUGUCUUCGACGAGUCGAGUUGUUUGGGAAUGCAGCUCAAAAUGGGUGGUAAACUCCAUCUAAGGYUAAAUAUUGGCGAGAGACCGAUAGCGCACAAGUAGAGUGAUCGAAAGAUGAAAAGCACUUUGAAAAGAGAGUUAAAAAGUACGUGAAAUUGUUGAAAGGGAAGCGCUUGAGACCAGA
RNAcentral lists this ribosomal RNA (644 nucleotides) under Pezizomycetes sp. genotype 77. RNAcentral describes it as "eukaryotic LSU rRNA". The stretch from base 208 to 644 matches the Rfam family "Eukaryotic large subunit ribosomal RNA", at positions 1 to 433 of the family's 3401-position model. The record is from RNAcentral. Lineage: Eukaryota; Fungi; Ascomycota; Pezizomycetes.